CCGUACUCUAUUCACUGGAAGUGAGUCAUUAGGUCCGGUCCAUACUCAAGAGAGUUUACAAAGGCCCACAUACCAGGAGGUAGAGCUCGUCGGGUCAUUCUAGAAGUCUGCCGAACCACAAUGCCUUUGUAGGGACUGGAGCCAGCCCUCAGGACCAGAAACAGGCUCUAACAGCUUCCUUCUCUUAUUUCUACUUUGAAAUCAGUAGUAUCUCCUCAACCUUUGUGGGAGCAGUUGUGAGGGUGUCCUCUUGAGCCAAGCCCCUAGGCAACUGACUUGAUAGUGAAGCAAACUGAAUUCAACCUAAGCAACUCAUAACCAGUACCUGAAGCUGGGCUGUAAUGAAUGAGAACGAGCGCGCUUCAAGGGUGAGAGAGGAAAAGGGACCAGGAAGUGCUCACCAGGCGCAGCGUGGGUACAGGAAUUCCUGAAGCUUGGAUUUCGCUGGCACCGUUACCACUCCCAGAGAGGAGCGGCUGGAGUUCACGGCUGGUUCCUGACAAACUUCCUAAUUAAUCUGCUGAAGAUCAGAGGAGGACUAAUCGGGGCUGAAGACUGUUGGGCCCAUCCCCCCGCCCUUUCCGUGUGUGUGUCUGUGUGUGUGUGUCUGUGUGUGUGUGUACCGCGCGCCUGUGCACACACUUACAGUGCUGAGCUUGGCAGGAGAGAGUCUCAGCCAGCGAUUCAGCACAAUAGCAUUCCUGCUGCUGCCACCUACCUUCCCGGCUUUGGGAGGAGGAAUUUUCUUCUCUUGCUUAGAAGUUUCCAGGAGUCCCCACUCCUUCUGCUGGCGGAUGCAUGGCGGAAUACACAUCUUCCAGCCCACUUUCCUAUGGGACCAGAAUCUCGGGGCCGGUGCAGGCAGGAGCUGUCUCGUGCAGAGCGGAUUAAAGCUUUCUCCGGUGGAGCCAAAGAUCGGGGGGCCUCUCAGGAGCUCAAGAUGCUCCAGGGCCCAAGACCGGCCAAGUCCAGGGGCGGCUGCAGACCUCAGGAGCACCCGCUGCAGGGUGCCAGGCUAACAACUUCCAGACAGACAGCUGCCGCACGGGAGGAAAUGCAGAGCCGAGGACAGCUGAGCAAGAGUAGGAAGUCUCUCGAAUAAGCCAUGCCCCGUGUGCCCCUUUCUCUUUUCUUUAGCAGAAGGCAGCGGGCAGGCAACAAGGGCCGGGCUUCUUUCUUUCCGCCGGGCCUGAAUCUCCAGGCCGAGAGACACCAUUAAGGAGUAUAAUUUGUUGAUCCAGGCUCUCCUUGCGUUUCAGUGCAGAGUGGCAUCGUUUUCUUUAUGACCUCGUAAAGUCACAGCCGAGAGGCCGAUUUGGAAAACAAACUGCCUCAGGUUGACAGAUAAUUAGAUACAGGGGACAUAUUAUAUGCCUUUGCAUAUAAAUGUGCUCCGAGGCGUGUUGGUUCAUCUGAAGUUGAGGUUAAAGGCGCGCCAGGUAUUCCUGACACAUCAGGAUAUAUAUUUUCAUACGGUCUCGGGCGCUGUGUUGGUUUUAUAGCCCUUUCAUCCCGAUGCUGACUGAUGGCGACCGAGCGCAACCCAACUUAAGAGGAGCGGGGCGCUCGCUCACCCAUGAGCCUCUGCGCGGCCGCUGGGCUCCCCACCCCCCCGCGACUCCCUCCCUUACCCAGCCCUGGCAGAGGGGCUGUUCUUCAGGCUUCCAUGCCUUGCGCAUGACCAAUGGCCACCCUGGGCCGGGGGUGGAAGCGGGCAGGAUCCAC
Molecule: long non-coding RNA, 1725 nt
Organism: Neofelis nebulosa (Clouded leopard)
Lineage: Eukaryota; Metazoa; Chordata; Mammalia; Carnivora; Felidae
Exons: 3
Source: RefSeq, a predicted model, not a curated record